CAAUAGCGUAUAUUUAAGUUGCUGCAGUUAAAAAGCUCGUAGUUGGAUUUCGGGUGGGAAUGGCCGGUCCGCCGUUUCGGUGUGCACUUGCUACGCCCACCUUGCUGCCGGGGACGUGCUCUUGAGUUCACGCUCGGGACACGGAGUCGGCGAGGUUACUUUGAGUAAAUUAGGGUGUUCAAAGCAGGCCUACGCUCUGAAUACAUUAGCAUGGAAUAACACGAUAGGACUCUGGCCUAUCUUGUUGGUCUGUAGGACCGGAGUAAUGAUUAAGAGGGACAGUCGGGGGCAUUCGUAUUUCAUUGUCAGAGGUGAAAUUCUUGGAUUUAUGAAAGACGAACUACUGCGAAAGCAUUUGCCGAGGAUGUUUUCAUUAA
RNAcentral lists this ribosomal RNA (377 nucleotides) under uncultured eukaryote. RNAcentral describes it as "partial 18S ribosomal RNA". It matches the Rfam family "Eukaryotic small subunit ribosomal RNA", at positions 592 to 976 of the family's 1831-position model. The record is from RNAcentral.